GAGAUCAGAGAGUAGCUCGACUACUGCUGAACAGACAGUCUCAAAUCAUUUAACUCAAGUGAUAUUCACUUUUUACUAUCGGUAUUAAACUUAGCAAUAAUUAUCAAACUGAACAAUUAAAUCAGUAUCGCAGUAUCUAUGAUUUCAGUAGCGUUUUCGUCUCUGUUCUAUUACGUUCCCAGUCUAGUGUGUAUUUCGGACUGGUUUAAAGCGUUGCAGAAAACAUAUCAUAAGUUUGUGAAUUUUGAAAAUCUGAAUGACAGUUAUAAGUUUGUAAAGAAAGUUUGCGUGUAUUAUCUUGCUUCGCAAGUCUUGAAAAAGAUUUUCGGAAAAUGACAAAACAAAAAUCUCAAGACACAACAGAAGAAAAUCUCAGAAAACUUCCUAGUAGGGGUUGUAAGUGUUCUCCAAGAACACGAACUCUAGCUAUUGGAUGGUUCAAUUUUAUAAUCUGUCUAAUCUCCUUCGAAUGUAUUUUAUGGUAUGGUGUGAACAGCACUGACGAGCAUUUAGACAGAUUCCUUUACAAUACAGCAGACCUCAGUCCACAAAAGUGGAAUACAUAAAAUCUGUAGCAGGGUUUGCAAGGGAGGAAGCCAUUUUGAGAAAUUUAGAAUACAAUCAGAUAAAGAACAAACUGGCUAAGAUGGGAAUGUUAGAGUGUAUGAUUCGGAUAUUCUUCAAGAUCCUUUGUAUGACCACUGGAAUGCCCUGAGACCUGCAGUUAUACUUAGUGAUAUU
Molecule: long non-coding RNA, 741 nt
Organism: Nilaparvata lugens (brown planthopper)
Lineage: Eukaryota; Metazoa; Arthropoda; Insecta; Hemiptera; Delphacidae
Exons: 3
Source: RefSeq, a predicted model, not a curated record